Long non-coding RNA from Dipodomys ordii (Ord's kangaroo rat), 1546 nucleotides. RefSeq lists it as uncharacterized. Lineage: Eukaryota; Metazoa; Chordata; Mammalia; Rodentia; Heteromyidae. The transcript has 2 exons. The record is from RefSeq and is a predicted model, not a curated record.
UGCAUGGGACAGCCCCAGACAUAGCGGGCAAGGACAUGGCCAACCCCACUGCCCUCCUGCUCAGUGCUGUGAUGAUGCUGCGCCAUAUGAGGCUUUUUGACCAGGCUGAGAGAAUUGAGGCUGCGUGUUUUGCUACAAUUAAAGAUGGAAAGACCUUAACAAAAGACUUGGGAGGCAAAGCCAAAUGUUCAGAGUUCACAGAUGAGAUCUGUCGCCGAGUGAAGGAUUCGGAUUAAAGCCCCUGCACGUGGUCUUGGCUGAUGGACACAUGAACCUCUCGAUCACCUGCCAUUCUGUCUGCAUUCGGUUUGCUUGUUUCUUGACAGUACAUUUUCUGAUCUGGCCUUUUCUUAACAAAAUCCACCUGGAGGCUGCAGGCGAUGUGUAUAGCCCUGCUUUCAAAGGACUUUUCCAAAUGCUUGUUCUAUUUAUUACAUGUCUAUUUGGGAAACAUUUUUUUAGUAAACCGGAAGUGGACUGUGUCAUUUGCGGUUGUUAACCAUUUUACACUUCAGUUCAAAUCAAUUUUCCUCAGCUGUAAAUAUGAGAUAAAUUCCUUAAAAAACACCUAUCUUUUUAAGAGACAACAACAACAAAAAGUUGCCGUUUUCCUUGGCUGAUGAAAAUCAUAAUGGAAAUAAAGUCAUGGCACAAAAUAACAUUCUUAGAAAACUCAAAGGGGCACCAGAAAAAUUCCUAGGGAAACCGCAAACCUGAACCUUUUUCUUAGUAAUGCGGUCAGUGAAGAAAGAUUUGUCCUUUCCAUGAAUUACUAUGAAUAAAAACUUCAGAUCCAAGAACUAUAGAAAGGAGCGCUAUAACUUUUGUUAAUGAGAUAUAGGUAAUAUAUUGCGUACAAGGCGCCAGAUGUAUUUUGUAUUCAAUUAUUUUGUUCCCUGGAGAUGAAAUAUUCUUGGCAAGAACUCUUGAUGAAGUAAAGAGGGGUCAUGUCCUCUGACUGGACACAAAUUGUCACAGCCUCUGAGUUCCUGUGCUGUAUCCAUUCCCCCUCUCCACCGUGGAGAUGGGCGAGCCAGCUGUCCUGCCACCUGCGGCCUGCUUAGCCCAAUCACCAGUGUUUUGGUUGUGGUUAAGGUACACAGGGCUGCUGGCUGUGGAUUUUUAAUUUCCAUGACUGCCUCCUCCUCCCCCCCGCUUUUCUCCCCACUACUGCUUUAGCAAUACCAGUAAAAGACGCCACGGCAGAGGCCGAACAUGCGUGGCUUGAGCUGAUUCUCACAGUCAAUCCACGUGGGGCCUGAGGUCAUCAAUGGUGACCCUUUUCUAUGACCUUUGUCUCCAAACCAGAGGCCAUGUGGGUUCUCCCUUAAGCCUUGUGUGGGUCUGCACACCUCUCGUUCUGCCCGUGUGCCCAGGUCACUGGGACAUUUCCCGGCUAAUUUUUUUUUUUUAAGCUUAUACCCAGGCUUACAAUCUCAUUUGUAUCCUACUUUGUUUAUGCUGCUGCUUUGCCUCUCUGGAUUGUGCUCAUCGUCAGUGGUUCUCAGGCUCAUGGAAAUUAAUAAAUAAAGAAUUUCCAAAUAGA